Molecule: ribosomal RNA, 801 nt
Filed under: uncultured bacterium
Lineage: Bacteria
Description: bacterial SSU rRNA
Rfam family: Bacterial small subunit ribosomal RNA
Source: RNAcentral
GUCGAACGAAACUUCUUUAUCACCGAGUGCUUGCACUCACCGAUAAAGAGUUGAGUGGCGAACGGGUGAGUAACACGUGGGCAACCUGCCCAAAAGAGGGGGAUAACACUUGGAAACAGGUGCUAAUACCGCAUAACCAUAGUUACCGCAUGGUAACUAUGUAAAAGGUGGCUAUGCUACCGCUUUUGGAUGGGCCCGCGGCGCAUUAGCUAGUUGGUGGGGUAAAGGCUUACCAAGGCAAUGAUGCGUAGCCGAACUGAGAGGUUGAUCGGCCACAUUGGGACUGAGACACGGCCCAAACUCCUACGGGAGGCAGCAGUAGGGAAUCUUCCACAAUGGGCGAAAGCCUGAUGGAGCAACGCCGCGUGGGUGAAGAAGGUCUUCGGAUCGUAAAACCCUGUUGUUAGAGAAGAAAGUGCGUGAGAGUAACUGUUCACGUUUCGACGGUAUCUAACCAGAAAGCCACGGCUAACUACGUGCCAGCAGCCGCGGUAAUACGUAGGUGGCAAGCGUUAUCCGGAUUUAUUGGGCGUAAAGGGAACGCAGGCGGUCUUUUAAGUCUGAUGUGAAAGCCUUCGGCUUAACCGGAGUAGUGCAUUGGAAACUGGGAGACUUGAGUGCAGAAGAGGAGAGUGGAACUCCAUGUGUAGCGGUGAAAUGCGUAGAUAUAUGGAAGAACACCAGUGGCGAAAGCGGCUCUCUGGUCUGUAACUGACGCUGAGGUUCGAAAGCGUGNGUAGCAAACAGGAUUAGAUACCCUGGNAGUCCACGCCGUAAACGAUGAUUACUAGGUGUCGGGGG